CUGGAAUCGCUAGUAAUCGCGAAUCAGAAUGUCGCGGUGAAUACGUUCCCGGGUCUUGUACACACCGCCCGUCACACCAUGGGAGUCGGAUAUGCCCGAAGUCAGUGGCCCAACCAUAUGGAGGGAGCUGCCGAAGGUGGAGCCGAUAACUGGGGUGAAGUCGUAACAAGGUAUC
RNAcentral lists this ribosomal RNA (175 nucleotides) under uncultured bacterium. RNAcentral's name for it is "partial 16S ribosomal RNA". It matches the Rfam family "Bacterial small subunit ribosomal RNA", at positions 1326 to 1500 of the family's 1533-position model. The record is from RNAcentral.